UGAGUACGAGAUGCUACGGCGUCGAAGCAGUCUAUGUCAUACUUCCAAGAAAAGCUUGCACUGUCAUAAACAAAUAAUGCCUGUACCAUAACCGACACAGGUGGGUAGGUAGAGUAUACUAAGGGGCGCGAGAUAACUCUCUCUAAGGAACUCGGCAAAAUGACUCCGUAACUUCGGGAGAAGGAGUGCCUUAUUUUAUAAGGUUGCAAUAACAAGAUCCAAGCAACUGUUUACCAAAAACACAGGUCUCCGCUAAGUCGUAAGACGAUGUAUGGGGGCUGACGCCUGCCCAGUGCCAGAAGGUUAAAUAAGUCGGUUAGUUUACGCGAAGCUGGUAACUGAAGCCCUGGUGAACGGCGGCCGUAACAAUAACGGUCCUAAGGUAGCGAAAUUCCUUGUCGGGUAAGUUCCGACCCGCACGAAAGGCGUAAUGAUUUGGAUACUGUCUCGGAGAGGGACUCGGUGAAAUAGACUUGUCUGUGAAGAUGCGGACUACCUGCACCAGGACAGAAAGACCCUAUGAAGCUUUACUGUAACUUGAAAUUGAAGUUGGACUUUACUUGCGCAGUAUAGGUGGGAGGCUUUGAGAAUAUUCUUGCGGGAAUAUUGGAGCCAUCAGUGAGAUACCACUCUGGUAAUGUUAGAUUUCUAACUUUGAAUCAUUAUCUGGUCAAAGAACAGAUUCAGGCGGGCAGUUUGACUGGGGCGGUCGCCUCCUAAACGGUAACGGAGGCGCACAAAGGUUUCCUCUGAACGGGUAGAAAUCGUAUCUAGAGUGUAAAGGCAUAAGGAAGCUUGACUGUGAGACCUACAAGUCGAGCAGGGACGAAAGUCGGUCUUAGUGAUCUGACGGUGCUGAGUGGAAAGGCCGUCACUCAACGGAUAAAAGUUACUCUAAGGAUAACAGGCUGAUCUCCCCCAAGAGUUCACAUCGACGGGGAGGUUUGGCACCUCGAUGUCGGCUCAUCGCAUCCUGGGGCGGUAGUACGUCCCAAGGGUUGGGCUGUUCGCCCAUGAAAGCGGUACGCGAGCUGGGUUCAGAACGUCGUGAGACAGUUCGGUCCAUAUCCGGUGUAGGCGUUAGAAUAUUGAGAGGAGCCUUCUUUAGUACGAGAGGACCGAGAAGGAUGCACCUCUGGUGUACCAGUUAUUGUGCCAACAGUAAACGCUGGGUAGCUAUGUGUGGAGUGGAUAACCGCUGAAAGCAUCUAAGUGGGAAGCCCACCUCAAGAUAAGUAUUCUCAU
RNAcentral lists this ribosomal RNA (1245 nucleotides) under metagenome. RNAcentral describes it as "bacterial LSU rRNA". It matches the Rfam family "Bacterial large subunit ribosomal RNA", at positions 1564 to 2817 of the family's 2925-position model. The record is from RNAcentral.